AUACGGAGGGUGCAAGCGUUGUUCGGAAUUACUGGGCGUAAAGCGCGCGUAGGUGGUCUGUUAUGUCAGAUGUGAAAGUCCACGGCUCAACCGUGGAAGUGCAUUUGAAACUGGCAGACUUGAGUACUGGAGGGGGUAGUGGAAUUCCCGGCGUAGAGGUGAAAUUCGUAGAUAUCGGGAGGAAUACCGGUGGCGAAGGCGACUACCUGGCCAGAUACUGACACUGAGGUGCGAAAGCGUGGGGAGCGAACAGGAUUAGAAACCCCGGUAGUCC
RNAcentral lists this ribosomal RNA (274 nucleotides) under uncultured bacterium. RNAcentral's name for it is "partial 16S ribosomal RNA". It matches the Rfam family "Bacterial small subunit ribosomal RNA", at positions 523 to 796 of the family's 1533-position model. The record is from RNAcentral.